AUGAGAGUUUGAUCCUGGCUCAGAACGAACGCUGGCGGCGCGCCUAACACAUGCAAGUCGAACGAGAAUGCGGGCAACCGCAUGUACAGUGGCGAACGGGUGAGUAAGACGUGGGUGACCCUCCCUG
RNAcentral lists this ribosomal RNA (127 nucleotides) under Nitrospirota bacterium. Its description in RNAcentral is "Nitrospirae bacterium (sediment metagenome) partial 16S ribosomal RNA". It matches the Rfam family "Bacterial small subunit ribosomal RNA", at positions 1 to 133 of the family's 1533-position model. The record is from RNAcentral. Lineage: Bacteria; Pseudomonadati; Nitrospirota.